UUUAUUAAUGAUCAUUAAUAAUUAGAAUUCAUUAAUUAAUAUUAAUAUUUAAUUAACAUUAAAGGAUGGUUUUAGAAUAUAAAGAAAAGAAUGUGAGUUAAUGUGCCUUGUACCACUUACCAUAAACAUUAAUUAGGCUAUAGCAAAAUUGUAUAUACCUUUAGAAUUCCUCCCCUUCCAUUAGGUAUAAUGCUGAUUUCCCCCCCUCAAAUUUAAUCAACAUACAGGAGUAAAUUUGAACAUAUGAGAUACAUUGUGAAUGGAAAUAUUAUUCUUGUGUAUCUUGGGGUCUAACACUAAGAUAAAAAGAAUUUUUAAGGGGCGUAUCAAUUAAUGUCAAAAGACUGAUCAAGAAAACUAAUUUUUCUAAAUAAAAUUAACACACCACUGUACUUUGAAAUUAUUUAUAUUUUGUUGCCCAUGCACUUAAAUUUUUUUUUAAUUUUUUUCAAGUAAAGAUCGAAUAUUUUCUUGUUCAAGAAGCUUGUUGAUAGCUUUUAAUCUUCUCUGUGAAAAAAUGAUGCAAAGAAGAGUCCAGAACCUCGAUUUAUUUUCUUGUCAAAUAGACAAAGGGGACAACGAACUGGGGCUUUGUACUUGUAUCUUCUUUGAUCCAGCAGAUGAGGAUGGAAAGGAACCAGGGGUUUUUAUAACUGAAAUUAUUGAAGGAGGUGCAGUUCACAAACUUGGAUGUAUCCGUGUAUUUGACCAGAUUAUUAAAAUAGGUGACAUCAAUCUAAUUGGAUUGGAUGAAGCAGAAAUCGUCUCUACUUUUAAAAAAAUGGACGAUUCUCCUUUCCAGAUUGAAAUUGGCCGCGAACCACCUAAAGUGAAGUCAGAACUUAUCGAACUCCUCGAGUUGUCAGAGGAAAGGAAGAAAUAUUUUAUGGAUUCGCUCAUAGUACAGGUAUUAUGUGAACCAAAUAAAAAAAUGCAGAAACGCAAAAUUCUUUCUUUUUUUAUCAUAACAAUAUUAAAAUAAAAUUUUUGUUCUUUAAAACGUUUCCUUUCCUACUCUUCAGUAACUUCAUCUUAAUUUAUUACAUACUUUUUUUAUUGUUGCUCUUUUAUGCAAUUUUAUCAAUGUCUCUGAGAUUUACAUUCUAAUCUUCUCUGAUGCACUCCAAUCUUCACCACUGAAUUAUCAUUUGUAGUAUAGAGAAUGAAUUAAGCAAAACUGAACAAUAAAUACAGCAACUGAAUCUGAUAGUUUUGCUUC
RNAcentral lists this long non-coding RNA (1219 nucleotides) under Monodelphis domestica (gray short-tailed opossum). Its description in RNAcentral is "lncRNA (ENSMODG00000044045.1)". The record is from RNAcentral. Lineage: Eukaryota; Metazoa; Chordata; Mammalia; Didelphimorphia; Didelphidae.